UAUGUGUGUGUGUGUGUGUGUGUAUGUAUAUUUAUGUGCUCUUUGGUGUACAUUUAGCUGCAAAAUUUCGUUUAUAACACGUUUUUCCUCAGUCUGUCUGCCAGAUGUUUGAUUUGGAAGGCGUUCAAAUGAAACAAAGUCCCACUCUUUCCCAAAAUUUUAGAAUGUAUCUUUUGAAACAGGGUUUCUUAAAGUCAGUUAAUGGAUUUUGCAAAAAAUACUGCCUAAAUGGCAUUAUAAAGCAUUAAGUACCUUGUCCAGAGGCUCUAAAAAUGUAAUACAAUAGGAUUGGGCCGAUAGUCAAUACAGCAAUCAAUAAAACGAUAAAUGAAAAGGAACUUAAUAACAUUGCUGUCAUUGAUAAAUUGCUACGUCUGUCUGUGUUUCUUUUCCUGAGUUGAUUUGGUCUUGUAAGGUCCGAAAGCAUGACAAGCACUACCUCCACAGCGGACACUCCCCUGAAAGACGAAAUCAAACGGCUUUGCCAUGCUUUAGUCACUUCGUCUCCAGUUCAACACACAUGAGCUAAUUCGACUAAUUUUAUCAACUUUCGUGAUGAAGGCAACUCACGUGACCUAUUGUGGCCUAGAAUGGACAACCAAGGAAAUUCUCGCACCAGACCUCAACUCUUAUUUUCUGACUUUCCCACAGUUAAUGAAUGAGGUCCUUUAGCUGACUGACACAUUAUACAUACCUUGCUAUCUAUUGUACCCAUUUUAAACAAUUGAGGGUGAAAAGUAUUCAAGAUGUUUAAUUAACACAGCUUAUAUGUAAUGCAUCUAAAGGGCUUUUUGACAUUUUUCACAAAUAUCAUUCCAUGAAAUGUAUUUUUCUAAAAUGUUCAAAUCACUCAUCCAUUUCCCAACAUUCCUAGUAUGAUGUUCAUUUAUUAUUCCAUGAAACCUUUUUAACUAUUUAUUUUAAUUGUGUUCUGAUUUAUUAAACGUAUCCUCCAGUUUGUGGCUAUUAUAAGGUAUAUUUUCAUAGGAUAUGCAUUUUUAAAGCAUGUCUUUAAAAAGAUAACAUUUAAAAAAUUACUUCUGGAUAUAUUAUAUUGAUCAACUAAUUCAGAAUUGGAUGUUUAUUUUGAGCUUAUUUUGAGUUUAUUUGGGCUUAAGUGAAUUUCCCCCUGAAUCAUUUUGAUAGAAGGUAAAGUGUGAUGGUUGACCGACGGAACACUUUAAUUGGAUAUUAUCAACGGCCGGCGCACAAAGUCAGAACACUGUAUGCUUGGAAUGUUAACACCCUGUGAACGUGCUCAUGCUGUGGCGAAAGUGAGAAAAUUAAUACGUGUUGGGAAAAUAAGAAACUGCAAAUUUCAGCAAAAAUGGCUGUCUGGCUGUCUUUUCAAAACUUGGUUAAAGUCAGACGAUUGUAAACCCGGAGGCUUUCUGCAGCAGGUUCAGAAAUACCUCCAAAUUAAUGCAUUGAAAUCAAACAUGCUAACAGCACAAGUUAGCAAUUUAAAGCAGUUAACUGUGCCACUUCUGGUGUUGCCACUAAGAAUGUCUAGUGUUGCUAACUUUACAGAAAAAUAAAUAAAAAUACAUUGUCAGAUGAAACAGUCUAGCGAACCAAAUCUAACUCACUAAAGAGUAGCAGUUAAUUUAAACCUUUGAACUGUUCAAGAUUAUCAUUCUCAAAAGCUUCCAAUUGUGUUUAUUCAGACAAUUGUAAGCUUUUGACUACAUUUAAUAACCAUAUGUGGUUGGACAUGGGCAUUUAUUUUUUCUUUAAAGGGGAACUGUACGUUUUUUGGAAUUUUGCCUUUCUUUAUUAGAGAUAUUCUAACUUUUUUAAAUAAUCAGCUCGUUCUAGGUGGCAGUUAAUGAGAUCAAUACUUUCUGCCACUAAAUCACUUUGAAAAUGCAUUCAAAAACCACCAGCAAUACUUAAUUUGCGUUCCGUAACCUGUAUAAAAACCAAGCUGUAGCGACAUUGUUAUUGUAAAAGCGAACACUGAGGAACUCUUUUUCUAGCAUAAUAACAUAUCGUCUUAACGACAACAUGCUACGGCAAUAGCCGUAAGCUAUGUAUGGCAAGACUUGAGCUAACUAUUUUGUCAACAACUGAAUGGCUUUAGAGUUUGUAAUGCACAACACAAUGAGAUAGGACACCAAUCUGUACUGACUGAAAAACAUGAACAAUCAUUUUAUAGUAUCUAUGGAGUAAUAACCUUCUUUUCAUGUUUUGUUUGUACACAGUUAGCUCAACAGCAUAUGUACUGUAGUUCUAAUAACAAGCAUGCUAUUCUGCAUGUAUCAUGAUCAAAAGAAUGUUUUUUUCCUGUUUCUUUUGGGUAAUGACACCAUUUCUGUCUGUAUAAGUUAUCUCCAUGUUUCACAUUUACAGCAAAAAGUCACGCCGACCUCACUCUCUCGGUUUCUGCAGCAUUUCAUUCUCUGUUCGUGUUGGCUUCUAUAACCAGUAGUUCAUCUUCUGUAUAUUUAGGUUAAAAAAGAUAAGGUUGUGAAUCCUCAUUUGUCCAAAUAUGUAUUCGUUGUUUGUUUUCAAGUCUGCCCUGAUUAGAACACACACAGGUUUGUUUACGGAAGUAGGAAAACAAAUUUUUUGCCGGAAGUCGGAAGUGCGUUGCUAACGAAAUGGAAAUAAAUGCUUAAAAAGACCAAUACGGUAAAUAUAUGGUUAUGAACGUGUCUGUUACUACAAUAUUUACAUUAGGGGUGUGGGAAAAAAUCGAUUCGAAUACGAAUCGCGAUUCUCAUGUUGUGCAAUUCAGAAUCGAUUCUCCUUUUUAAAAAAAUCGAUUAAAUUUUUUUUAUUUAUUUAAAACAAUACACAGCAUUACCAUAACAAUGCAAUCCAAAACCAAACCUGACCCAGCAACACUCAGAACUGCAAUAAACAGAGCAAUUGAAAGGAGACACAAACACGACACAGAACAAACCAAAAGUAGUGAAACAAAAAUGAAUAUUAUCAACAACAGUACCAAUAUUAGUUAUAAUUUCAGCAUAGCAGUGAUUAAAAAUCCCUCAUUGACAUUAUCAUUAGACUUUUAUAAAAAUAAAAAAAGAACAAGUGUCACAGUGACUUACACUUGCAUCGCAUCUCAUAAGCUUGACAACACACUGAGUCCAAUGUUUUCACAAAGAUAAAAUAAGUCAUAUUUUUGGUUCGUUUAUUAGUUAAAACAAAUUUACAUUAUUGCAAUCAGUUGAUAAAACAUUGUCCUUUACAAUUAUAAACGCUUUUUAAAAAAAUCACCUACUCUGCUAGCAUGUCAGCAGACUGGGGUAGAUCCUGCUGAAAUCCUAUGUAUUGAAUGAAUACAGAAUCAUUUUGAAUCGGAAAAAUACCGUUUUUGAAUCGAGAAUCGCGUUGAAUCGAAAAAAUCGAUUUGUAAUCGAAUCGCGACACAAGAAUCGAUAUUGAAUCGAAUCGUGGGACACCUAAAGAUUCGCAGCCCUAAAUUACAUACUUACAUCGUGUAUAUAAAAUGUUGAUGGAGGGUUUUGAAGUCUUUUUAGAGGACUUUGAAGGUGGUGACUUCCAUUAACUGCACCUUUCAAGCGUAUUUUGUUUUUAAAAAUGCUAAAAACAAAAUGACUUGUGUCCUUGUCUCUCAUGAUUGUAAAUAAACGUUCCAAAAAAGGGCAGUUCCCCUGUAAGUGGCAUUAAAAAGCAAUACAUUACAUUAUUGAUACCUGGAGAAACCCUGUAAAAGGUAACUGUUUAAACUAGGGCUGUCAUCCAUUUGUUGACAGGCGAUUAACGAACAUGCAUCCUUUUUGACUCUCGGGCCUUUCCGUAAAUGUGGCUGCGUUCACUAGUUACUGAUGAGCUACGAGUGUGGACUAAAAAAAGGGUACGUUAUGGAAGUACCAUGUCCAAAGCCCUGGCAAGUUCUCUUAAUAAGAAAAGGCAAUUUUUCGCCAUGAGUCAUCUGCCGACCGCUUGCAUUCAGAGGUCGGCGGAGCUUUACUUCUGAGUUAAGAUUACAGUAUGCAUUGAUUACAUAGCAUGUAGAUUGUUACUGUAGCUAAUAAAAUGGCAUUAGAUCUAAGCAGAAAUGAAUGACGGUGGGUAGGAAGUAGUAAGGCACUGUUUUUUUUUUUUUUUUCUAGGCCUUCAAUUUAAAUUUCCUCAUGCACGAAUCUUCGCUCAAAUUAAUGGGGAAUUGUCGCUUUCUUGGUUCAAAUAGCUCUUGCUGCUGUAGGCUCACAUUAUAAACAAUGUGAGGAUGCGAGGAGCCCUCACACCAGUGACGUCAUUGUCUGCUACUUCCGGUAAAGGCAAGGCUUUUUUAUUAGCGACCAAAAGUUGCGAACUUUAUCGUCGAUGUUCUCUACUAAAACCUUUCAGCAAAAAUAUGGCAAUAUCGCGAAAUGAUCAAGUAUGACACAGAAUGGACCUGCUAUCCCCGUUUAGAUAAGAAAAUCUAAUUUCAGUAGGCCUUUUAAAAUGAUGACAGAGGUCUGUAGUUUUAAUCAUAGGUACACUUCAACUGUGAGAGAAAUAAUGGAAAAAAUAAAUUCAGGAAUUCACAUUGUAGGAAUUUUAAAUAAUUUAUUUGUAAAUUAUGGUGGAAAAUAAGUAUUUGGUCACUUCAAACAAGGAAGAUCUCUGGCUCUCACAGACCUGUAACUUCUUCUUUGAGAAGCUCUUCUGUCCUCCACUUGUUACCUAUAUUAAUGGAACCUGUUUGAACUUGUUAUCUGUAUAAAAUACACCUGUCCACAGCCUCAAACAGUCAGACUCCAAACUCCACUAUGGCCAACACCAAAGAGCUGUCUAAGGACACCAGGAAAAGAAUUGUAGAUCUGAACCAGACUGGGAAGAGUGAAAUUACAAUAGGCAAGCAGCUUUGUGUGAAAAAAAUCAACUGUGGGAGCAAUUAUCAGAAAAUGGAAGACAUACAAGACCACUGAUAAUCUCCCUUGAUCUGGGGCUCCACGCAAGAUCUUAUUCCGUGGGGUCAAAAUGAUCAUGAGAACGGUGAGCAAAAAUCCCAGAACCACACAGGGGGACCUGGUGAAUGACCUGCAGAGAGCUGGGACCAAAGUAACAAAGGUUACCAUCAGUGACACACUACGCCGACAGGGAAUCAAAUCUUGCAGUGCCAGACGUGUUCCCCUGCUUGAACCAGUGCAUGUCCAGGCCUGUCUGAAGUUUGCCAGAGAGCACAUGGAUGACACAGCAGAGGUUUGGGAGAAUGUCAUGUGGUCAAAUGAAACCAAAAUAUAACUUUUUGGUAUAAACUCAACUCGUCGUGUUUGGAGGAAGAAGAAUACUGAGUUGCAUCCCAAGAACACCAGACCUACUACUGUGAAGUAUGGGGAUGGAAACAUCAUGCUUUGGGGCUGUUUUUCUGCUAAGGGGACAGGACGACUGAUCCGUGUUAAGGAAAGAAUGAAUGGGGCCAUGUAUCGUGAGAUUUUGAGCCCAAACCUCCUUCCAUCAGUGAGAGAUUUGAAGAUGAUUAUUGUCAUGCUGGAAGACCCAGCAUGACAAUAAUCCCAAACACACCGCCCGGGCAACGAAGGAGUGGAUCCGUAAGAAGCAUUUGAAAGUCCUGGAGUGGCUUAGCCAGUCUCCAGAUCUCAACCCCAUAGAAAAUCUAUGGAGGGAGUUGAAAGUCCGUGGUGCUCGGCGCCAGCCCAAAAACAUCACUGCUCUCGAGAAGAUCUGAAUAGAAGAAUGGGCCAAAAUACCAGCUAGUGUGUGUGCAAACCUGGUAAAGACCUAUAGUAAUCGUUUGACCUCUGUUAUUGCCAACAAAGGUUAUAUUACAAAGUUUUGAGUUUAAUUUUUGUUAUUGACCAAAUACUUAUUUUCCACCAUAACUUACAAAUAAAUUCUUUAAAAUUCCUACAAUGUGAAUUCCUGGAUUUUUUUUUCACAUUCUGUCUCUCACAGUUGAAGUUUACCUAUGAUGAAAAUUACAGACCUCUGUCAUCAUUUUAAGUGGGAGAACUUGCACAAUCGGUGGCUGACAAAAUACUUUUGUGUAAUUAAAUCACAAUAACGUCAAUGUGUAAUCCACUUGGUUUUUAAUAACACAUUAUUUUGAUUGGCUGUCACAUUGUAGAAAUAUUUCAUCAUUUUGUACCGUGUUAUGUUCAAUUAUAUCAAAAGAGCGUUGGUUUUUAAUAAUAUUUAACACAUUAUUUUCAAUUGUCUGACACUAUAUACUGAAAAUUGUAAUUUUCCUGAAGGAAUAAAUAAAGUCUAAUCUAAAGGAAUAUUGAUAAUUUUCCACUUUUUGCACCAUGUUUAAACAAGUGUGAAUGUCUACUUUUUGUUAGUCUCUUUUCUCUGUUCUUGUCUAAUCCGCUUAAUUUUGAAUAACACAUUAUUUUUAAUUGUAGUUUUCCUUUAUGUGUACUUAGUUUUGACCUUGUUCAUCAAGAUUCUUCUUCUUUGCACUCUGUGGCACCUAUUAUAAAAUGAUGAUACUUAAUUUGACGUUAUGUUUUAAUUAUAUCAGAUUAGCGUAGUCUAUUCCAGUUGUUUUAUAAUAAUAAUUAACACAUUCUUUUUGAUUGGCUGUCACCACAAUACAGGAAUAUUGAUAGUUUUCCUCUUUCUAAUUAUUUUUUAAUUGUUUAAUGUACAUAGCAUGAAUUUAAAUUGCAAUAGAAGUGUAUUUUGAAAGUAUUUCAGGGGUUCAUAUCCCUAAUGAUACUAAAAAAUAGAAUUAGAAAUAUUUAUUGUCAUUGUACAACAUAUACAACACCAUUUAGUUGAAAAGUUGCACCUAAAUGUUAAAGUACCACUGAUAGUCUCUCUCACACACACUAGGUGUGGUGAAAUUAUCCUCUGCAUUUGACCCAUCCCCUUGUUCCACUCCCUGGGAUAUGAGGGCGGUAGCUGCGCUCGGAAAUUAUUUAACCCCCAAUUCCAACCGUUGAUGCUGAGUGCCAAGCAGGGAGGUAAUGGGUCCCAUUUUUUAUAGUCUUUGGUAAGACUCGGCCGGGGUUUGAACUCACGACCAACUGAUCUCAGGGCGGACACCUUAACCACAAAGCCACUGAGCAGGUUCAACCUUUACAAUGUUUAAACAGUGUAUGGUGACUUUAUAGGUCUUUGAGACCAUCAUACACGGUUUAAUUAUUACUUUUUUUCCGAAAACUAACCUUGUUUGUUUGUAUACUGUAUGUUCUACUCAAGCAAAUCGUUUUUUAUUCGUUAGUAUUUUAGAGCACGUCUUUUUUUAACCCAAACUCUUACCUAAAGCAAUAAUAAUAUUGCAAAAUAUUUUUGCAGUCUAAUAUUCAAUGUUGUGAAGUAGUAGACAGUAUUUUGUGCAAAAAUAUCAAAUGUUUUAUUACUCUUUAGUAGGGAUGAUACUCGAAACCGGUUUUCCCAGUUGUUCGAUAAGAAAAGAAACGAGUCCUAAGACUCGAACCCUUUUUUGAUAACCGGUACCCGUUAUCGAGACCACUAUAGUAAAGAAAAAGAGUUGGGUCUUUAUUUUAAUCCAUCCCGACCAGAAAUGCUCCGUGAGACAUCACAAAAAACGACGUCACAUAGCUCAGUCAUUAGGCGCAGAUAGCGAAAGCAGGAAAACAACGGACGGGAAAAAGCCCUCCAAGGUGUAGUAAAGUUCAAAACAAAAGACAUAAUCCAAUGAAUAACUUUACUGAGAGAUUUGAGCAGGGUUCAAACACAUGACCAACACUUUUACGACCAACCGGAAACAUAGCAACCAGGCUAGCAACGCACUUCCUUUACGGCAGCUGUCGCAACGUUCUUAAAGCAACCGCAGCACAUACAUAUAUAUACAACAUAUCCCCCUUUUUUAACUUUUGUUUUUCUUUCCUUGUAAACAAAGCAAAAUCACACUGUAUAUGUGUUGUCAGUCUAAUUAUAAAUAAUGCAGACGAGGCGUGUUGGCUGAGUUCUUGACGUGUACUGCCGGGUGACGACAUGCAACAACACUUUUCGGGGCUACCGCGCAUGCUCGUCACUCCCGUUGAAUGCUGGGUAGUGUAGUUGUUAUAUUCCCCAGCUCAUAAAGAAAUAAUGUUAACUCAAUAAAGUGUAUUUCUUUUUUUAGCUAUAACUUUUCAUUUUUUAGCAUUGUAACCACAUUUGCAAACAACUUUUCUCUUCAUUCAGUUUUCUUUCAAUAAAGAAAUAGAGUGCAAAAAUGUCAAAGCAUCAUAACAAACAGUUAUGUCAAAUAGUAGCAGAAGUGCACUUUUUGGAGAGCUGUAUUAUUUUCAGUUUUGUGCCCAAGGGACUCAUUUUAUUUAACACUAUAUUCUUAUUUAUACACCUAUAGUGAUCACAGUGACAGGGUGUUUUUGUGUUACUGUAUAUAUUUGUUUUUCUGAAAAAUCCCACUUGAUAUACUUUGGGUAACAACAGUCAAUAUUUAUUUUAUUUUAUUUUAUUUUUUUAGGGGGGGUAACAGUCAAUAUUUAUUAGAUUUGAUUUUUUUCUUAUAUAAUAAACGUGAGCUUUUGUUAAACCAAGUAUUGUUUUUUUUUUCCAUGUACAAAAACCUGUCUGGACUCGAUUGGAGAAUCGAUAAGAGAAUCGAUAAGGAAUCAGUUUAAUAAGAGGAUUCGAUAAUGGGCUCGAACUCUAUAAUUUCUUAUCAAACAUCAUCCCUACUCUUUAGUAACAUAGCAAUCUGCUGAGUGUCGCCCACAUUUCCUAAUUGAAUAAAUGAAUAUUUUUUAAGGUGAUUCAUUACAGUAAAGGGCUUUUGUUCCCUGCUUAACACUACAAACUAUAGUAUUGAUCUACCUGUUUGCAUAUACACUUUAGAAUGGCCUUUUAAAAGUGUAAUUAACAAACAAAUGUUUUCAGCAUGGUUUGUUUUUGUGUUAGUCAGCAAUAUAACUCAAAUAAUUAUGGAUAGAUUUUGAUAUUUGGAGGAUACAUCCCAAAAAAAACAUUUCCUCUCAUCUACUAAGAACACUCUUCACUUCCUGCUUAUGGCGUUCCACGCCCCCCACCUUGUCAACGCCGUACUGCGUUCAGUAUUCUGGAAGAUGUCAUUUAUUUUCAGACCUCGCCAACCCUAAAGUGCCAGAAAAAAACUACAGACAAAGUUUUUGUUUGAUGCUUUCAUGGCGCGCCACAGCUUUAUUGUGAAGAUUUUUAAAUUGCAAUACCACUGUAUCUACCUACCUACUUAUUAAUGAUGAAAAAUUAUAUCUGCGAUUAAUCUCGAUUCAUUUUGAGUUAACUGGAAACAAAAUGUGAUUAAUCACGAUUACAUUUUAUCUUUUGACAGCCCCAGUUUAAAUAUACUGUAUAUCUUGAAGUUGUCACCGCUAUUUUUUUUUCCUCAGACACGGUCGUAAAAUAAAUUUCACAACAUUAGGUACACCUGCACAUAUUUCAUCAUACACCCUGUCUAAAUAAAAAGUGCUGCUAUGUGGAUGGAUGGAUCUUUAUUGUCAUUGUACAAGUACAAUGACAUUUUGUUUUAUUGAUUGAUUGAAACUUUUAUUAGUAGAUUGCGCAGUUCAGUACAUAUUCCGUACAAUUGACCACCAAAUGGCAACACCCGAGUAAGUUUUUCAACUCGCUUAAGUCGGGGUCCACGUAAAUCAAUUCAUGGUCCAAAUAUAUACUAUCAGCACAAACUCGUUGAAGAUUAGACAAACAGUGUACAGGGUUACAGUACAAGAUAAUGGGUCGCCAUAAGUUGCCUUGUAAAAGAUGGGGAAAAGGUAAACGCUGGGGGAGGAUGCGUUUAAAAAAAAAAAAAAAAAAUACAAUCUCGGACAAUUAAUUAGCA
Long non-coding RNA from Nerophis ophidion (straightnose pipefish), 9721 nucleotides. RefSeq lists it as uncharacterized. The record is from RefSeq and is a predicted model, not a curated record. The transcript has 2 exons. NCBI's taxonomy places the organism in Eukaryota, Metazoa, Chordata, Actinopteri, Syngnathiformes, Syngnathidae.